AUGAGCGGGCCUAGGGAAGCGCCGUCCUUGUCAGGGGUGAGCCACUUGCACACCGGUGCGGCGCCGUACCGGCGGGUGAUCAGGCCGUCCUUCCCUUGCUGCACUUCGCAUGACACGAUGUUGUACGACGCCAUCAGCCGCAGCAUGCGGUCCAGCAUAGCCGGGGCGCACGGGUUAGCCGACGGCAGCUGCACGGCCACCUCCCAUGGCGACAGCAUCUUCCCACCGGCGCCGACAAGGAUCUCUAGCAUGCCCAGCUCCACCACGCUCUUGAGUGUCAUUGGCACGAUAGCCGCCAAUGAGAGCUGCAACGCGUACAUGAAGGCCUCCCUGUCGUCGGCCAUUUCCUAA
Molecule: ribosomal RNA, 351 nt
Filed under: Triticum aestivum (bread wheat)
Lineage: Eukaryota; Viridiplantae; Streptophyta; Magnoliopsida; Poales; Poaceae
Description: partial small subunit ribosomal RNA
Source: RNAcentral